Molecule: long non-coding RNA, 178 nt
Organism: Octopus sinensis (East Asian common octopus)
Lineage: Eukaryota; Metazoa; Mollusca; Cephalopoda; Octopoda; Octopodidae
Exons: 3
Source: RefSeq, a predicted model, not a curated record
ACUUCACUCACAAUCCUAAUUGUUGGAUGUUAUUAAACUCCACGACACUCAUUCCUUGAGAUAUUGGCUAUUUUUUUAUGCCAUGUCUAUGGCUUAAAUCCAACAAGACUUAUUCGAAUUGUUGUAAACUCUAGCAGUUAGUAUGAAGGAUUACCUAGUGUGAAUUAUAAGUCGUAAU